Molecule: ribosomal RNA, 798 nt
Filed under: uncultured Porphyromonadaceae bacterium
Lineage: Bacteria; Pseudomonadati; Bacteroidota; Bacteroidia; Bacteroidales; Porphyromonadaceae
Description: bacterial SSU rRNA
Rfam family: Bacterial small subunit ribosomal RNA
Source: RNAcentral
AGAGUUUGAUUAUGGCUCAGGAUGAACGCUAGCGAUAGGCCUAACACAUGCAAGUCGAGGGGCAGCACAUGAAGUAGCAAUACGGAUGGUGGCGACCGGCGCACGGGUGAGUAACGCGUAUGCAACCUGCCUACAACAGGGGAAUAACCCGUUGAAAGACGGACUAAUACCCCAUAACACAGGGAUCCCGCAUGGGAAUAUUUGUUAAAGAUUUAUCGGUUGUAGAUGGGCAUGCGUUCCAUUAGCUUGUUGGUGAGGUAACGGCUCACCAAGGCAACGAUGGAUAGGGGAACUGAGAGAUUUAUCCCCCACACUGGAACUGAGACACGGUCCAGACUCCUACGGGAGGCAGCAGUGAGGAAUAUUGGUCAAUGGACGCAAGUCUGAACCAGCCACGUCGCGUGAAGGAAGACGGCCCUACGGGUUGUAAACUUCUUUUGUAAGGGAAUAAAGUGUAGUACGUGUACUAUUUUGCAUGUACCUUACGAAUAAGGAUCGGCUAACUCCGUGCCAGCAGCCGCGGUAAUACGGAGGAUCCGAGCGUUAUCCGGAUUUAUUGGGUUUAAAGGGUGCGCAGGCGGGAGAUUAAGUCGGCGGUGAAAUUUUGCAGCUCAACUGUAAAAGUGCCUUCGAAACUGGUUUUCUUGAGUGUGGAUGAAGUAGGCGGAAUUUGUGGUGUAGCGGUGAAAUGCAUAGAUAUCACGAGGAACUCCGAUUGCGCAGGCAGCUUACUAAACCAUAACUGACGCUCACGCACGAAGGCGUGGGGAUCAAACAGGAUUAGAUACCCUGGUAGUC